This 1411-nucleotide long non-coding RNA is filed under the name Olea europaea (common olive). Its description in RNAcentral is "long non-coding RNA (OEUR_LNC002526)". The record is from RNAcentral. Lineage: Eukaryota; Viridiplantae; Streptophyta; Magnoliopsida; Lamiales; Oleaceae.
GGAACAUAGAAAACAAGAGUAGGAGACAACAAGAGUCAGGACUCGGGAGGGGAGGUAGAAUAUAGAGUUUGGAAUUGGGCGUUGGGCUUUCUGAUCCUACGAUUAUGAGUUGUGCUCAUCUUCCAUGGUUCGGCAGUUCCUUGUCUUCAAGGUCAUAGCAGCUCUGAAAUCUUCAACCACACGAAUGCACUUGUAAAUUUCAACGACUUCAACACUGGCGACCUCGGCACCUCGUCGGGUACUGACUCCGCCACUGGCUAUAGGUUCCUAUUCAAUUAGAAUUAUAAAUUAUGAAAAACUUGAUAUUAGUUUCUAAACGUUCUGCUAUUUGAAUAAAAAUAAUUCUUAUUUAUAUGAUUAAAUUUGAUCCAUGAUAUGAACAACAACACAUAUAAUCUCUAUGUUUAAGGAACAAAUUGUACUAACAGAAAAAGCCACAAACUCACUGCAACAAACAAAAAAAAGUGAAAUUCUAAAACUCGUAAACAAGCAAAAUUCCGAAAAGAAAUUAACACAUGCAAACUGUCAAAACGAAAAUUGUAAUUUGUAAACACUUAAUAAAAUUGCGAGAAAAAUACUAAAAAAAUUACCUGUCCUCAAAUGCUUCGGCAAAUGGCUGUGCAACUGUGAAGGGAAAGAGCCAAAGAGGUACAGAAAUCAAAGACUGAGAUUGGCUCGCAGUGGCAUAGACGAGCAGAGUCCGUCUUCAAAUUAGGGCUUCGGCUAGAAUUGGGUUUAGUUUGGGGUCUUGGUUGUGUCAACUUUAUUGGGCCAUUGGGCUUAUCAUUUUGUGGAAAUUACGUCUGGCACAUGUUAAGAAAUAAAUAUUCAAAAUUUACAUUUCAAUAUUUUUAUAUUCCAUGAAUAUUGUAAUAAUUCAAACCUAUAAAAUCCCCCAACUCUUUAAAAUUAGAAAAGUAAUUAACAGAUAAAAAGUUGUCAUCAAUUUAAAUCCCAAAUGAAUUAUCUUCUCAAAAUUGGCUACAGGUACAGAAUUUUUAAAUAGAAUUCUGUAAAAAAAAUCUGUAUCUUUAGAAAUAUUCUUGUCUCAAUCUCCCCAAAUUCAUCCACAAAUUACUCUUUAUCAACUCAACAAAUACGAAAUCAAAAUGGAUUUAUCUAAUUUCCGUUCAUCUGCCUUCCAACACAUUCUCAAACGUUCUUACAGAAAUCAUAAUAUAUCUCAUUCUUUAUCUCUUUCCGUACAUUCAAUAAACUCUCAAAUCGUGUAAAUAUAUUAAGCCUAUAUUAGAAACCCUACACAUUAAUCGAUUCCAAAUGGUUUAACAAAAUAUUCAUAAAAAUCUUGGUUUCAAAGAAGGUUUUGACUAAAUCUCCAUAGUAAUUUUUUUACGAGCUUACAUACACAUUUGUAAUUACUCACUCCAGUUACAGUUGUUAAGAGCCUGCC